RNAcentral lists this long non-coding RNA (551 nucleotides) under Homo sapiens (human). Its description in RNAcentral is "HSALNT0292759". The record is from RNAcentral. Lineage: Eukaryota; Metazoa; Chordata; Mammalia; Primates; Hominidae.
GACAGGGUCUGGCUCUGUCACCCAGGCUGGAGUGCAGUGGCACGAUCUUGGCUCACAACUACCUCCGCCUCCCCAGGCUUAAGCAAUCCUCCCACCUCAGCCUCCCAAGUAGCUGAAACUACAGGUGUGCGCCAUCACCCCCAGCCUCCACCCAGGAACUGACUCAGCGCAAGAAGACAGCUUCGACUCUGUAUGAGUUCAUCUCCAACCUGACCAAUCAGCACUCCCGGCUCACUGGCUUCCCCCCAUCCACCAAGUUGUCCUUAAAACUCUGCUCCCCGAAUGCUUGGGGAGACUUAUUUGAGUAAUAAUAAAACUCUGUUCUUCUGCACAGCCAGCUCCGCAUGAAAUUACUCUUUCUCUAUCGCAGUUCCCCAGUAUUGAUAAAUCGGCUCUGUCUAGGCAACCGGCAAGGUGAACUCACUAGGCAGUUAUGGCAGUACUCUUCUGCCUGGCACACUCACCUCUCAUUCCGCUUCCUUUUCUGCCUAACAUCCAGUAAUCUUUAAGUUCAUUGGCCCUUUCUCCAGGAAGCCUCCCUUGACUUUCUA